CCUUUUCCUAUCUGCCUAAAAUUAUUUUUUUAAUAAAUCCUAUAACAGUAAUCCAAGAUAACACAUUUUGAAAGUAACAAGUUAUGUAAUGUGUAUGGCAAGAGUCCCAUGAGUCAAACUCACAGGGUAAUGGCUGGAAUGAGGAUGGGACUUGAAAGAUGAGUAGAAUUGAACAGGAAUGGGCGGAACUUCCAAACAAAGCAAGGCAAGAAUGAGCGUGGUGUGUUGAACAACAGGGGGUAGACUAGCUUGACUAAUUUGGAAGGUAUAUGGGAAAGAAGAAAAAAUAAGUUGAAUAAAUAGGAUGAGGCCAGUUUAUCCAGGGUCAUGGAAAACCAAAAUGAGGAAUUUCAAAAUAAGGCAGGUUACUGUGGCUACUUGACAUCAUUUUUCAGGAGAUUGUGUGAAAUAGCAGUAAUGAACAUGAUGAAUGAUUUUGAUAAAAUAGGCACUCCCAAAGAUGCCAAUGGAUUAUCUUUUCCACCAAGGGAUAUCUUUUCCUUGCCACUUCCCAGGAGGGAUAAAGAGAGAAGAUUCUAAGGCUACCUUCCUAAAACUACAUCUUUAGGAUUAUUUUUUUGUUUCUCUUUGCGCUCUGUAGGCUUCAUUUUAAGACAUCCUCAACAAACAGGUUUAUUACAGUGUGUAUAUCCUGGCAUUAAACUGUAUGUUAGGAAAUAUGUUGAGGCCGUUCUCCAAGGUCACCCAGUUUUUAGCUUGAUGGUGUUGCUUUCCCCACUCGAUUCUUUCUAGCACCUGUGGUAUCUCUCCUCCAGGUCCUUUUGACCCCUUGAACAAAAUUUCUCUCAGCACCUAUUCCCUCCUUUUAAAACUUUCUACCAGAAUUAUUUAAAUUAAUGAAUGUUUCUGGUUGCCUAAUGUAACACUGCAACGUGUAUUUUCUUAAAAAUUUUUAUAUUUCCUCACAUUAGUGCCUUUCUCUCAGCAUUACCACACAAGGCUCUGUGCUUGAAUGUCCUAUCAAGGCCACCAUAAAAAUGGUAGGUUCAAUUCAUUUUGGUUCAAUAGACAUAUUGGUAUUUCCGAAAUUAAUAUAUGUCAGAUUGGUCUUGACCCAGCCAUCAAAGUUAUUCUUAGAGUCAUACAUAUUUUUGAAGUUCUUUUUUUUUAUAGCUAACUGAACAAAACCAGAUUAAUUAUUGACCCCUGAAAAACUUGUUAAAAACUAGAGAUUAGGCCAUGCUCUAACUUUUCCCAUUGAGAAUCUUUCUUAAUUCAUUGUAGUCACCUUUGUGGGUGUCAUUUUCUUUUGCCGAAAUUUAAAAGCAACACCCAGUUUGUCAAUUACAGGUUUCUGAGAAGCAGAUGCCAAGACGGGAUUACAUGUGCAGGAGAUAAGAGAAAAUGCCUGUGAAGGACAAAGGGAGACCAGCAAGAGAAGGCAGGGAGACUCCGAUUGGAAUGCAGGGGAGUCGAAAUCUGAAAAAGCAGAAUGGGAAGGAAGAAUAGGUUGAAAGAACCUGUUUGUAAUGUCAUUCUGAGAGACUCAGCCAGGUCAAUGGGGAGUCCUAAGCCAAAGUUGUUCAUUAGAGGAAUUCCAAAUUGGUCAGGAUCUGCUGUGCUCAGUAACUGUCUGAGAGCAGUGCAGGAAAAACUUAGUCCGGUGCAAACUCAGUGGUGAAUCCAAAAGUGCAGUAGGCGGAGACUGUAAAUCAAUUCAUAAUAACAUUCAUGGUGUCGCUUCAUGAUUUCUGUAAACCUCUCUAAAAACUUAGGAAAGGGAAGUUAAUAGGACAAACUAUCAUCACAGGUGGUCUGGGACCACACUAGUACUUACCCUGUCCUACACUAUCCACUCUAUAUUCCCAUCACUCUCAGCUCUCACUUCAGCAGAUCUUGUUGACUUACUUGGUGGCAUGACCUAAACAUUCACUCCUAAGUGGUCUUGGGCUUUUGUCAUCAUACUCUUCUCAGUCCGUGACUGCAGUUUGUGUCCAUUCACAGUUAGAACUAGGUAAGGGCAUACCAAGAGGCACCCAAGUGGAUCAUCUGAGUUUCACAUGUGUAUUUCUCCCUGUCCCCAAGGUGUAAAGGUGGCCCCACCUCCUCAUACUAAUCAAUUAUCCUUGCUUGCUGGCCCCUGGCUGCAAAGAGCCAAAAGUGUCGUGCUAUACAUAGCUUAUAGUUCAAUGGAUUCCCGCUCUACCCCUUUGCAAGAGAGAAAACCUGUAAUUCUACUCAACCCAGAGUUGGGGAAAGUGAAGCACAGAGUUCUCCAGUGGGUUAUUAGGAGUGAUUUUAAAUAAAGCCAUUUGUGAUUUCACCUUUUGGUUCCUAGAUCCAUGUAUUUGCCGUACUAGAGACACAGUGCCAUGUAGAAAUCUCUGAUUAGUGCCUAUACUAAAUACUGAGAGAUGUCAUGCCAUCCUUGCAGAUUAUUGUCUCUGAGCUGCUGAUUUCGCUGUGACUUAAGUAGGCUUUUCCAGUACUCUAUGAGGCCAACUUCACCUAAAUAGUGCAGUAUAUGAUAAAACAAUUAGACCUCAUGGACAUGGCCUAUUCCUGUACCUCCUUUUCUAUAAAGUAAGUUUUCUUGUGGAUGCUCUGCUAGGUGGGAUUCUGUGACUAGAGAGGCAUUCUGCUAGUGGUGCCAGCUAAAUCUUUGCAGACAGGAAAGGCCAGGUUCUAGUACCUGCUCAAUCAAAGCCUGGAAGCAGCCAGGGGAAGCGUGGCUUAUCACGAACUCCACAGUGGAUCCAAAGGUGUGGCAGCUGAAGGCUGUCAGUCAGCUGCGCUCUCCACAGCAGGUGCUUUUGAGGAGAGAUCUGAGUGGAACACUUGUAAGGCUGCCAGAGCAAGACAGUGACUCUCACAAAAUCAUAUGAGGAGCGGGAACAUUUGCAGCGCCCUGCUGGAGUAAGAAAUGUAGAAUAAAGAGUUAUUCAAACUUAGAAUAGUACUUGAAGGAGAACCUACCUAAAUUUGUGAAAGUCUAAAUUAUAAACAAUACUGUUUUUAAGGAAAUGCCUUAAUUUACUUCCAAACAAAUAUUCUAAUCUUGAGCAUACUAACAUACUGAUAUUGAAUCCUGGCUAAGGGUUUUACUAUAAGUUAAUAGAGGAAACAUUUUUAACUAGUAGUAUUUAUUUGCCUACAUGUAAUUUGCUCAAAUUUUAAGGACAGUUCAUUUACCAAGACCCCUACAUUCAUAAUUUUCCACAUGGAUAGUGUAAAGGCAACUUCAGCCCAGUAAAUGUCAAUAAAUUAAAAGACUUUUUUCUUUUGAUUAGUGCAGUCUAAAGUAAUUCUUUUUGCAAUAUAUUAAAAUGACUUGCUCAAGAUUCACUUUUCAAAGGCAUUGUGAGCUUACUUCCUACAGUCUGAGACUGUUACAUAUGAGUAACUAUGGAUUAGCUUGUAGGGCCAGCAAAAUAGGUGAACAGAAAAUCAGCCUCAAAAAACCUCCAUCCUUUGCCAAUUUACUUAAGGAAAACUCUCCAUAGCCAAACACUGUUGCUGGUAAUAAAAGCUGCAAGCUGUCACUGAAUUCUGCUUUCUUGGCAGCACAUCUCGAUAUACUGAUUGAUAAAGACUCAGAUAAUCAAAUCAAGAAUGCUACAGGUGGUUACUCCUCAGAAACCUUGAAAGGAUUUAAAUUCAUUCUGCUUAAAGUCAUGCCAUACAGGAAGCCAUCAGAAGUUGCCUGGUAAGGAUUUAAGAAAAAAGGAAUUAAGUGGUUAUUUGGGUCAUAAAUUUUAGGGCAUCAGGUUAUGAGUAUCUGAUGUAUUUAUAUUAAUAAUUACAGCUUACCAUGGGCCAGUCACUCUUUUAAAUGCCACAGCAAAUUUAUGAAGUAGGAUAUAUUAUUAUCCUCAUUUGCACAUGAGGAAACUGUGCACAAAGACGUUAAAUGGACUGCCAAAAAUCCUAAAGCUAGUAAGUGCCAGUACCAGUAUUCAAACCUAGGCAGUCUAGCUCUUAACCGCUAUACUAUAUCUUCCAUUGAAAUGGACAGCUGGUUAUUUUGACUAAAUAUCCUAAGAUAUGUUUGGAAGGGAAUUACCAUCACUGACCUCUUAAAUCUCCUUUUUCUGUACUUCCAAGCUGAUCAACUCUUUUUUUGUGAAAGACUCAAAUUGUUGUGUUGUAUUACAUGAAUCGAUAUAUGGGAUAAUUGCUAAACAUUAUAGACCUGAGAGUCAUUCUAUCUCUUUUAGAAAUCUUUUUCUUUAUUCCAUAAUGGAUAAUGACAAAUUCAAAAGCUUUAGGAAGUAGGCAGAUAACAUAAGUGAGGGAGAUGGCUUGGUAUAAGACAAUUUGAAAUGGCGAGAACUGUGGCAAACCACUACUCACUCGUCACUUGGCUCCAGCUGCUCUGUGCAAAUGUGGAUCCAAUGUUAUCAGAUAUUUUAAGGCCAGGAAUGGUGGCUUAUGCCUAUAAUCCCAGCACUUUGGGAGGCCAAGGUGGGAGGAUUGCUUGAGCCUAGGAGUUUGAGACCUGCCUGGGCAACACAGUGAGACCCUGUCUCUACCAAAAAAAAAAAAACAUUAGCGACAUGUGGUGGCAUGUGCCUGUAGUUCCAGCUACUUGGGAGGGUGAAGUGGGAAGAUUGCUUGAGUUCAGGAGGUCAAGGCUGCAGUGAGCUAUGGUUGUGCCACAGCACUCCAGCCUGGGUGACAAAGCAAGACUCUGUCUCAAAAAAAAAAAAAAAAAAGAUAUUUGAAAUUUUACCUUAAGGGUAAGUUAUUACCUCUGCAAAUAGCUCAUUUCUUCAUCGUCUGUUUUACUCUAUUCAGUUUCAGAGAGAGACCACAGUCUUGACUUUAUUUUCAAGUUCUGUGAAUCCAUUAUUUUUAGAGCUUUUACCUCUUUACAGUCUCCAUGUAUAUAUUCAAUAAUGUAAAAUAUGUUAACAGUUCAUUGUUUGGACUGUGUCCUUUUUACAGACAAUUGACUAUAUAAAAGGCUGAAGGGCUUUUCCAGUAUAUCCCUAGUACUACAAAGUACGUUUUGGAGUCAGACAAAUCUGAGUUUGAAUUCUGUUUCUGAGACAUUAACUUGUAAUUUCAGCAAGAUGUUUUUUCUUCAUCUGUACAAUAGGGUUACUUAUACCUCCUAAUUAGAUGAGGAUUAAAUAUAUAUAAAUACACUGAUCAUAGCAGCUGUCAUAUGCAAAUUCUGAAGCAAACAAAAAAUUAAAAAACAAUGAGUUAUCAUUAAUAAGUCAUAAAGGAAAUAAAGGAAAGAUUAUAUGGAAUCGUAUAAAAAUACUCAAAAAGGGCCAGGCAUGGUGGCUCAUGCCUGUAAUCCCAGUACUUUGGGAGGCCAAAGUGGGUGGAUCACCUGAAGUCAUGGGUUCAAGAUCAGCCUGGCCAACAUGGGUAAACCCCGUCUCUACUGAAAAUACAAAAAUUAGCCAGGCAUGGUGGCAUGUGCCUGUAAACCCAGCUACUCAGGAGGCUGAGGCAGAAAGAACUGCUUGAACCCAGGUUGCAGUGAGCCAAGAUCGUGCCACUGAACUCCAGCCUGGGUGACAGAGCAAGACCCUGUCUCAGAAAUAAAUAAAUGAAAAUGAAAAUACUCAAAAAGGACAUUUAUAUGUAACUAUAUCAAAAUCAAAAAGGCGAUUUAUAUGGAAUCAUAUAAAAAUAGCCUAAAAGAAGUCAGAAAAAAAGAGGAAGAAAAACCGAGACAAAAAACAAAUACCAAGAUGAUAGAUUUAAACCCAACAUCAAUAAUCACAUUAAAUGUAAAUAUCUUAACACUUAAAAUUCAUAUUGAAACACUGAACAAGAAAGGAAGUUCCAACCAUACCCUGUCUAUAAGAAACUCACUUUAAAUAUCAAGACACAGGCAGAUUAAAAGUAAAAGGAUAGAAAAAAAGAUAAAUACUAUGCAAAUACUACUCAAAAGAAAGCUAGAGUGGCUAUAUGCAUAUCAGACAAUGUAGAUUUCAGAGCAAGGAAUAAAAUUAGUCUUUUCCCGCCUUAGAACUUCAGUCCCCCAGGUCUCUUCCUGUGAGGCAGCACAUUACCCAUUUUUCUGUAUCUUUCCAGGAUGAGUUUAUGAAUAUAUAAGCAUAUAUCACUUUUAUUUUCUACUGAGGGGAGCAUACUAUAUUCACUGUUCUGUACUUUGUUUUUCCACAUAUAUCUAGGACAUUAUUCUGUAGUAC
This 6137-nucleotide long non-coding RNA is filed under the name Homo sapiens (human). RNAcentral's name for it is "non-protein coding DPH6-DT:23". Lineage: Eukaryota; Metazoa; Chordata; Mammalia; Primates; Hominidae. The record is from RNAcentral.